This 453-nucleotide ribosomal RNA is filed under the name uncultured bacterium. RNAcentral's name for it is "partial 16S ribosomal RNA". It matches the Rfam family "Bacterial small subunit ribosomal RNA", at positions 28 to 506 of the family's 1533-position model. The record is from RNAcentral.
GAUGAACGCUGACAGAAUGCUUAACACAUGCAAGUCCACUUGAACUUCGGUUUGGGUGGCGGACGGGUGAGUAACGCGUAAAGAACUUGCCUCACAGUUAGGGACAACAUUUGGAAACGAAUGCUAAUACCUGAUAUUAUGAUUUUAGGGCAUCCUAGAAUUAUGAAAGCUAUAUGCGCUGUGAGAGAGCUUUGCGUCCCAUUAGCUAGUUGGAGAGGUAACGGCUCACCAAGGCGAUGAUGGGUAGCCGGCCUGAGAGGGUGAACGGCCACAAGGGGACUGAGACACGGCCCUUACUCCUACGGGAGGCAGCAGUGGGGAAUAUUGGACAAUGGACCAAGAGUCUGAUCCAGCAAUUCUGUGUGCACGAUGAAGUUUUUCGGAAUGUAAAGUGCUUUCAGUUGGGAAGAAAAAAAUGACGAUACCAACAGAAGAAGUGACGGCUAAAUACGU